CACAUCCUUGUUAGGUGAAUUAUGUGAAGACAGGCUUUUGACAAAAAACACACAAUCAAGGUCUCCAUCUUGACAAAAGAAAUUUGCAGGAGAGGUGGAGGGGGCUAAGGCGGCAGUGUUGGGCGGGGAGGAGGUGGAUUAGUGGGAAAGGGGCGGUGUAAGGCCAAUGUGGAAGAGGCUGGCGCCUCGUCAUUGGCAACGAGGGUGGGAC
Molecule: non-coding RNA, 211 nt
Organism: Sesamum indicum (sesame)
Lineage: Eukaryota; Viridiplantae; Streptophyta; Magnoliopsida; Lamiales; Pedaliaceae
Source: RefSeq, a predicted model, not a curated record